RNAcentral lists this ribosomal RNA (396 nucleotides) under uncultured Methylobacterium sp. Its description in RNAcentral is "bacterial SSU rRNA". It matches the Rfam family "Bacterial small subunit ribosomal RNA", at positions 8 to 432 of the family's 1533-position model. The record is from RNAcentral. Lineage: Bacteria; Pseudomonadati; Pseudomonadota; Alphaproteobacteria; Hyphomicrobiales; Methylobacteriaceae.
AGAGUUUGAUCCUGGCUCAGAGCGAACGCUGGCGGCAGGCUUAACACAUGCAAGUCGAACGCAUCCUUCGGGGUGAGUGGCAGACGGGUGAGUAACACGUGGGAACGUACCCUUUGGUUCGGAACAACUCCGGGAAACUGGAGCUAAUACCGGAUACGCCCUUUUGGGGAAAGGUUUACUGCCGAAGGAUCGGCCCGCGUCUGAUUAGCUUGUUGGUGGGGUAACGGCCUACCAAGGCGACGAUCAGUAGCUGGUCUGAGAGGAUGAUCAGCCACACUGGGACUGAGACACGGCCCAGACUCCUACGGGAGGCAGCAGUGGGGAAUAUUGGACAAUGGGCGCAAGCCUGAUCCAGCCAUGCCGCGUGAGUGAUGAAGGCCUUAGGGUUGUAAAGCU